This 1455-nucleotide unclassified non-coding RNA is filed under the name Hevea brasiliensis (rubber tree). The record is from RNAcentral. Lineage: Eukaryota; Viridiplantae; Streptophyta; Magnoliopsida; Malpighiales; Euphorbiaceae.
GCAAAAUAUCGACUAGCAGGUCAGAACUGCAUAAAUAAUCCUUCAAGUAAAAGUCUAUUCAUGUACUGAAAACCAACACUUGCUAUUUCUGCCAAAAAAAUUAUAUGAAUUAGGGAUGCUUCCUUCCACAAAUCUAAAUUUUGAUGCUUCUCAAAGUAUACUAAUGUUUUGGAGAACUAUGAAGACAAAAAAGCUGUUGGCAACAUGGCUUGUACUGAAGGUGUAUUGUUUGUCCUUCAUGAAUUCAACUUCCAGCUUAUUCCCAUGAGUAUUGCUCAUUUCUCAAGCUUUGCUGAUUGCUAGGGUAAGCUCUUUCCUGCCGAGGAGUUUGUCUAUAAUAACCAUUUCCCCUUGAUCUGCCAUAAUCACGGUCACCUCCGUCUUGACCACCUCUCCCAAAACCACGGCCACCAUAGCGCCCCCUUCCGUCCAUGGAGUAGCUAACUCUGCCUCUACCCCUUCCUCUUCCUCGAAUUAAGUUAUUUCUGUUCGGUCUCCUUCCUUCAAUGUACAACUGGUGUCCACCAAUCUGAACAGUAGAUGCCUCAAUUGCAUUCUGAACCCCAGUUACAUCUUCAAAUUCGACAAAUGCAUAGCAUACAUCAAUGUCCUUUCGCGUUCUAAUGGCAACAGCAUCAGGCUUUAAUUUACCAAACUUUUUGAAUUCCUCCUCAAUUUCAUAAGCAGCCAUUGUGGUAGGAACAUUUUUGACAUAUACAGACUUGACUUCAACUUCAUCUUCAACAGCUGAAGCCUCUUCUGUUGCCUCAGUAUACCUCUCAAUAGUAUUAGUCGAAUGAACUGAUGGCAAAGCAGGAGGCUCUGGCACAUGUUGCCACUCUGAAGGAGGAGGUGUAGAUUUGUUGAGAGAAGACUGUGCCAGUCCUUGUGCAGAAUUCCCUUUAGUAACUUGUAGAAUAGAAGCAUAAGUAUGCUUUUGGGGCUCUGCAACAGGUUCCUCAACAGGGCAGGAUAAAUGGUCUUGUACUGCAUUAAUUGUACUCUGAAGUGGGCCGUUCGACUGAACCGCAAAAUUAUCUUCAAGGAUAUUCUCAGCUUCAGAGACAUGCUGAAGCCGUUCCUCCGGAAAACUAUAGUUAUUGACUGGCCCGUUAUCUUCAAUUUUAGGAGCAUCAACAAACUCCCUUGCUUGGAUUUCUCCACCAAACAUGUAGUUGGGCACUUGCUCCUGAAGUGCAUUGGAAACAUUCAGCUUUGAAUCAAGGUUCGAAUGUGCUAGAUAGGCCAAUGGUUGCUGAAGAAUUUGCUCCUCAUCAACAUAGUGAAAGAUAUCAUUGAGGACAAAGUAUCCUUUUUCCUGGGGUGCAAGGAAAAAUGAUUGAACGAACUUCCUACUCCUAUUGAUACCUUUCACACUGACAGAACCUGAAACCAUCACAAGGACACCACCAUUCCAUGAUUCCAAGGAAUGGAGUGUUUUUAUCUCUAUUCCAG